UACGUAGGGGGCCAGCGUUGUCCGGAUUUAUUGGGCGUAAAGAGCGUGUAGGCGGCCAGGUAGGUCUGGUGUGAAAACUCGAGGCUCAACCUCGAGAUGUCAUCGGAAACCAUCUGGCUAGAGUCCGGAAGAGGAGAGUGGAAUUCCUGGUGUAGCGGUGAAAUGCGCAGAUAUCAGGAAGAACACCUAUGGCGAAGGCAGCUCUCUGGGACGGUACUGACGCUGAGACGCGAAAGCGUGGGGAGCGAACAGG
This 253-nucleotide ribosomal RNA is filed under the name uncultured bacterium. RNAcentral's name for it is "partial 16S ribosomal RNA". It matches the Rfam family "Bacterial small subunit ribosomal RNA", at positions 524 to 776 of the family's 1533-position model. The record is from RNAcentral.